RNAcentral lists this transfer RNA (71 nucleotides) under Ruminococcus sp. RNAcentral describes it as "tRNA-Gly". It matches the Rfam family "tRNA". From Rfam's summary of the family: Transfer RNA (tRNA) molecules are approximately 80 nucleotides in length. Their secondary structure includes four short double-helical elements and three loops (D, anti-codon, and T loops). The record is from RNAcentral. Lineage: Bacteria; Bacillati; Bacillota; Clostridia; Eubacteriales; Oscillospiraceae.
GCGGAUGUAGUUCAUUGGUAGAACACUAGCCUUCCAAGCUAGUUAGGUGGGUUCGAUUCCCAUCAUCCGCU